Molecule: long non-coding RNA, 1270 nt
Filed under: Daphnia pulex (common water flea)
Lineage: Eukaryota; Metazoa; Arthropoda; Branchiopoda; Diplostraca; Daphniidae
Description: uncharacterized LOC124205956, transcript variant X2
Source: RNAcentral
UAAUUAAAAAUAAAACAGCUGCUGUAUGUGAGGCGUCUUCUUCCACAUGUCACACUUUUAUCAAUAUUUUCCGUUUCUACGGUAAUGAAUUUUUUCAAGUAGGAUUAACAGUCAGAUGAAGUCUGAGCUUCUUUGUUGCAGUCCAAUUUUCAUAUGGAUUUGUUGAAGCCAGCCAGUGGAAGGUGUGAUAUUGAGAUGUUCAGUCGUUGUUGCUGGUGCUCUCCUGAAGUGUAAAAGAGCUAUAUGCUUCAAGUCUUAUGGGAUAUCAUGUCUGAAUCAAUGCUGGACCCAAAUGUGGUGAUCGACAAAGGAGCCACAACCCACAAGGCAGUGUAGGAUGACUGUGAUGGAUGAUGAAGCUGUUAACCUUUUAUUUGAUUGAAAGAGUUUGAACCUGUUCGACCGUGUGAGAUAAUUGUACCUACAUUACGACUAAUCAGACUGAAAAUGAUUGUCAUUUUCUCCAAAGUGCAGUUGCUUUCUGCAAAGGUGAAUCUUUUCUUGUAUUUUGAGAACACAGCACGUGGUCACAUUUAGCUAUUAAUCAAAGGCACUUGCUACCGGAAUUCUCCACAAACGGAUUUGUCAGCCAGGUUAAGUUGAAGCUGUUUGCUGUUGCCGUCUUAUGCUGAACAUUUUUACUUGACAUCUUGCUGCUUUCUGACUGCAUAAAUUGGAAAGCUGCCUGUUUUGCACAUUUACAACAGCUUGUUAGUUGUUUUUGCUUCAUAUUUUUUUUUGUUUCAUAGGUUUUCCACCGUGUUGAUGUUUGACGGAUGACUGAAAUUGCCUGUGGUGUUGCAGUCCAAUGGUGUGUCUGCCUGUUCCAUGGUUUAAUUAGAACAAACAAAAUCGAAUUUACGAUGUUGGUCAUUUUCCGAUUUUGUUUAGUGUACUCAUUAAGUUUGUUUUUGUCGCAUUGCAAGUAAUUUGAGCAAUGUGUUUGUUUUCGCGUCUUCGCAGCAGAAAUUAUCAUGUCUUAGGUCUACUUGGAAUGGUGAAUGAUUUGUGAGUUGUGACAUGCAGAUUUGAGACAAGUUCAUAUGAUGCAUUUAGUUGUAUGUUACUAGAAUGUGCACACAAAAUUAAUGUGAGGGAAGUAUAUUAUGAACUGUAAACGCUCUAAAACGCACGGAAGGUGGAAUUGUUGAAUAAGUUAAGCUAUCUAGGUUAAGUAAAAAUGCGCCCAUUUUAAUAUGUAUAAUAAAUGUUAAGAAAAUUUCGACGUGGAAAUAAAAAUUGUAACCAUUAAUAAUUAUAAUCCAUUAUU